AGAAUCAACGCUGGCGGCGUGCCUAACACAUGCAAGUCGAACGAGAAAGUGGAGCAAUCCAUGAGUAAAGUGGCGACCGGGUGAGUAACACGUGACUAACCUACCUUCGAGUGGGGGAUAACCUCGGGAAAACCGAGGCUAAUACCGCAUAACAUCGCAAGAUCAAAGCAGCAAUGCGCUGGAAGAGGGGGUCGCGGCUGAUUAGCUAGUUGGCGGGUAACGGCCCACCAAGGCGAAGAUCGGUAUCCGGCCUGAGAGGGCGCACGGACACACUGGAACUGAAACACGGUCCAGACUCCUACGGGAGGCAGCAGUGGGGAAUUUUGCGCAAUGGGGGAAACCCUGACGCAGCAACGCCGCGUGGAGGAUGAAGCCCCUUGGGGCGUAAACUCCUUUCGACCAAGACGAUAAUGACGGUACUGGUGGAAGAAGCACCGGCUAACUCUGCGCCAGCAGCCGC
This 460-nucleotide ribosomal RNA is filed under the name uncultured bacterium. Its description in RNAcentral is "SSU rRNA". It matches the Rfam family "Bacterial small subunit ribosomal RNA", at positions 26 to 518 of the family's 1533-position model. The record is from RNAcentral.